RNAcentral lists this long non-coding RNA (244 nucleotides) under Arabidopsis thaliana (thale cress). RNAcentral's name for it is "long non-coding RNA (ATHA_LNC000371)". The record is from RNAcentral. Lineage: Eukaryota; Viridiplantae; Streptophyta; Magnoliopsida; Brassicales; Brassicaceae.
CCUAGCAAAUCCAGGCUGUGUCUGAACACGAACCUUCACAGCUUCAAAUGGGCAAAGUGCAAUAUCGGCAAUGAUCUCAGCAGAAGCAGAACCAGCAAGGUAGAUGAGAGUCUUGUAUUUGGCAGUGUACUCAGGUCCAGCAAGGUCAGAGUAAGUCUUCUUAAAGUACUCGUAGAAUCCAAACUUGCAGGCACCCUGAGCACUGUAACCCAAAAGAGUAGGAACCCAUCCACGGAAAAAGCCU